AGUGAGCGCUGGCGGUAGGCCUAACACAUGCAAGUCGAACGGCAGCACAGGAGAGCUUGCUCUCUGAGUGGCGAGUGGCGGACGGGUGAGGAAUACAUCGGAAUCUACUCUGUCGUGGGGGAUAACGUAGGGAAACUUACGCUAAUACCGCAUACGACCUACGGGUGAAAGCAGGGGACCUUCGGGCCUUGCGCGAUUGAAUGAGCCGAUGUCGGAUUAGUUAGUUGGCGGGGUAAAGGCCCACCAAGGCGAGGAUCCGUAGCUGGUCUGAGAGGAUGAUCAGCAACACUGGAACUGAGAAACGGUCCAGACUCCUACGGGAGGCAGAAGUGGGGAAUAUUGGACAAUGGGCGCAAGCCUGAUCCAGCCAUACCGCGUGGGUGAAGAAGGCCUUCGGGUUGUAAAGCCCUUUUGUUGGGAAAGAAAUCCAGCUGGCUAAUACCCGGUUGGGAUGACGGUACCCAAAGGAUAAGCACCGGCUAACUUCGUGCCAGCAGCCGCCGUAA
RNAcentral lists this ribosomal RNA (506 nucleotides) under uncultured bacterium. RNAcentral's name for it is "partial 16S ribosomal RNA". It matches the Rfam family "Bacterial small subunit ribosomal RNA", at positions 29 to 523 of the family's 1533-position model. The record is from RNAcentral.